CCAAUCGCUGACGGCCGGGCGUUCACCUUUGCCCGCCCCGAGCGGUAUUAGCCAAUAAAAGACCGGUAUCCCAUCCCGGGCCAAUCGCUGAACGAGGCCGCACCCCGCGCCUUCCGGACCAAUCGCAAAUAAGCCUCGCGCCACAGCACGCAGGACUCUUGAUGACGUUCCGCCCUGUUUCCCCGCCUUUCUGCGCCGGCCUCUGCGUCGCCGUCGCCGCGCUCCUAUUCACCAAGCCGGGCAGAGCACCGACCAAUCGCAGGCCAGCGUUUCGGGGGCACAUCCCUGUCGCCCCGCCUCCCGUGCCGAAAUGGCCAAUCUUGACGACAGUCUUCACCGUGCUCUCUCGUCUAGCUAGCCUCCAGAUUUCCAGACUCUCCCGGAAUUCCUGAGAAGGGGUCCAGCCUGUAGCCCUGACAGCGGGCGGGCGGAAGUCCACUCCCGCCAAGAUCUGCGAGCGUGGGGGCGGGGCUACAGAUCUGCGGCGCGCAGCGCAGUGGGAGCCUGGUUUCGACCUUGACCUUGGUGCUGACUUCAGCGGGCCGUGUGACCUCAGUUCCAGAAUAAUAGGGAAAAUGUGAAUUUCAGCGGAACCUGUGCUUUACCUACAGGAGCAGGGUAUCACCAACUGUGGCCCGUGGGCCAAGUCCUGUCACUGCCUGUUUUUGUGACUCCCACGAGCUAAGCAUAUUUCUUACAUUUUUUUAAAAGGUUGGGGGGAUCAAAAUAAUAUUCUAUGACGUGAAAAUUGUAUGAAAUUCAAAUAGUAUGCAUAAAUAAAGCUUUACUGGAACACA
This is a long non-coding RNA of Equus caballus (horse), 797 nucleotides long. RefSeq lists it as uncharacterized. The record is from RefSeq and is a predicted model, not a curated record. NCBI's taxonomy places the organism in Eukaryota, Metazoa, Chordata, Mammalia, Perissodactyla, Equidae.